AACGAGAACAACGCGAGGUGGCUAGUUAUCGUCGAAAUCGCAUAGUCGGAACAUUAUCGAGUAACAGUGAAAUUCGCGCAUUAAAAUCACUCAAUAUUUCGACGUAACAUUAAAUUUGAAUUCGACCGAGGAUUUUUCGGUAAGCCACAAUGCGUGUUAUUUUAUUGAGCCUUUUGAUGAGCAUGAUGACCAUGGUGAAGUCUGACCACGAUCUAGAAAUUACGUUACCACAACUGCACAUUUGUAAUCAAAGAGAGAUGGAUCUAGGGGGAUGUAUAAAGCGCAGCAUAGAAUCAUUAAAGCCUUGAAGGAUGGUCUUUAUUCUUUGGGUAUUCCGAUGUUCAACCCGUAUUAUAUACUGAUUUACGAUUUUUUCAUGGCGGGUAAAUACACAAGCACCACGAUGUUUUUGGAUAUAACGAUUUCCGGAGCAGCAGACUUCGAUAUAACGGGGUUCAACUACUCAAGGCAUCAGAUAAUGUUACAGGCGAAGUUCCCACAGAUUAUAUUGCGCACAAAAUACCAAGCGAUGCCCAAUUUUACGAGGCCCAUAAAAGUAGGCCGACUGACAACAAUUUUUAAAAACCGCCGUCACCGCCGACGUCGUUAUAUAUGGUGAAAAUUACGAUAAACCGGAAACGAGCGAGGAAUAUUUUAAAGUGAUAAAUAUCCAGAUGCAAUUGAAAAUCGAUAAAAUCUCGGGGACUAAAACGGCGAGCUAUAACGAGACGAUGACCAUUUAUUUGGAUCAAUUUUUGCAAUAUCAAUGGCAGACACUGAUGAACAAAAUGCACCGGACGGCUGAAUGGUACGCUGCCAAAGUUAUCAAGGAAAUCGCUAACAACAUCUAUGCCAACUUCCCUCUGAGCGUAUUCUAUCCAGAGUAGGCAUCUUCUUGCCCUCGUUUUAUAGCCGCGACGACGAGCUAGUUGUCUUUUUUUGUGAAAAUUGUAAAUUAUCAUAUAUCAACAUGCACGGCCGAUCGCGCGUGUGUUAUUGUCACAAAGUGAGAACUCGUGUGCGCUCGUUUGCAUGAUGGUUCGCGUUUGAUCCUUUUUCAGACGAAGACGGUAAUCGAUCGUGACAGAGUCGAAAUGUCGGUACGCGGUGUAAACGGCAGCUCUUUAUUAUAUCUUCACCUGGGGACAAGUAGAAAUAUAA
This is a long non-coding RNA of Harpegnathos saltator (Jerdon's jumping ant), 1161 nucleotides long. RefSeq lists it as uncharacterized. The record is from RefSeq and is a predicted model, not a curated record. Lineage: Eukaryota; Metazoa; Arthropoda; Insecta; Hymenoptera; Formicidae. The transcript has 3 exons.